This 75-nucleotide transfer RNA is filed under the name Parcubacteria group bacterium CG10_big_fil_rev_8_21_14_0_10_36_14. RNAcentral's name for it is "tRNA-Phe". It matches the Rfam family "tRNA". Rfam says of the family: Transfer RNA (tRNA) molecules are approximately 80 nucleotides in length. Their secondary structure includes four short double-helical elements and three loops (D, anti-codon, and T loops). RNAcentral also lists the same sequence under 2 other names. The record is from RNAcentral.
GCCGGGGUAGCUCAUCGGUAGAGCGCAGCCCUGAAAAGGCUGGCGUAGGCGGUCCGACUCCGCCCCUCGGCACCA